UACGUAGGGUGCAAGCGUUGUCCGGAAUUAUUGGGCGUAAAGAGCUCGUAGGCGGUUUGUCGCGUCGGGGAGUGAAAACUCAGGGCUUAACCCUGAGCCUGCUUCCGAUACGGGCAGACUAGAGGUAUGCAGGGGAGAACGGAAUUCCUGGUGUAGCGGUGGAAUGCGCAGAUAUCAGGAGGAACACCGAUGGCGAAGGCAGGUCUCUGGGCAUUAACUGACGCUGAGGAGCGAAAGCAUGGGGAGCGAACAGG
RNAcentral lists this ribosomal RNA (254 nucleotides) under uncultured bacterium. RNAcentral describes it as "partial 16S ribosomal RNA". It matches the Rfam family "Bacterial small subunit ribosomal RNA", at positions 524 to 776 of the family's 1533-position model. The record is from RNAcentral.